Molecule: RNA transcript, 2894 nt
Organism: Oryzias melastigma (Indian medaka)
Lineage: Eukaryota; Metazoa; Chordata; Actinopteri; Beloniformes; Adrianichthyidae
Exons: 5
Source: RefSeq, a predicted model, not a curated record
UCACCAAUGCUGAAAAAGGAGGAAGGAAUUUGUGACAUUGCAACGACAAAAGGUGCUGAAAUCAACGACUUCCUGUCACUCAGAAAUGUUCAGUCUCUUACUAGUUUGCUUGUCCUGAGUAAAGGUUGGAUGUUUCUUAGUCACAGCAUCAUUGGGUCAGACGUUUGGUGGACUUCCUUCUUUCUUUAAGACGCCUGGUGGGUCGUUUAGUUCCGCUUUCGGCUCUGAUUGCUGCAGAGAGAUGGAAGCCGUAGUUGGACUGUUGUUGCUCCUUCAAGGAGUCGCUCAGGGUAUAGAAUCUUUUUGUGAUUCAAGACAGGAUAAAGCUCAGUGUUAUGGAGCUGAUGGUGGAACUGUGUUCAUACAGCUGAUGAACGACGCCUCACAGACAGACGUAUAUGAAUGGAAGAAGGAUAACUUCAUAAUUCUCAAAGGGAAAAAGAAUAAAAUAACUGCUAAUAUAUUAGAGAACAGAUCCUCAUUUUUUUUCAAUAAUGGAACAUUUAUGAUUAAAAACCUGAGUAAAAAUGACAGUGGUGAAUAUAGACUCACACUGUUUGACUCAAAAGGACAGAAGACAGAAACUCGGACCACAUGGUUAACUGUUAACGAGAAGAAUCCUCUGUCCAUCCUGGCGGUUUUCUUGUCACUUGUGGUAAUCUUCUUAAUCGCUGUAACGGUUGUCUUCUGUGUCUUGAAAAGAAAACAAAAAAAAGUCACAGAUGAUCAGCACAUAAUCUAUGCUGACGUUCAGAUGAAGCAGCAGAAGCAGAAGAGGCGGGUCUCUGAAAAGUCAGAUGUGGACGUGGAGUACAGUCAAGUAAAGUUUGCAGAACGACCUCGUCAGACUGAGCUCACAAAUCAUGAAGCGUAAGCAGAUCGUGGUUUCAUUUGGAGCUAAUAUAUAGUUAAUUGAGGUUUAAUGGAGAUUCAAGUUGAGUGAAAACAGAGACUAAAAGAGGCUCUUUGAGCUCCCCUGAUUAUCUUUUCCCUUUUCUCUACAAUAAUGUGGGCUGCACUGUGAAAACAUGAGAAUGUGAACAGUUUUUGGGUUCUUUUGUCUUCACACAAAAAGUGUGUGUCAUUAAAAGACUAUAAAAUUUGUUCUUUAUCAUUUCUCUGUGACAAAAAGCAUUCUGAAAUGCUGAAAAUUUCAAACUGAAUCUUAACUAUAUGGCUUUAAUUUCCCUAUCCCUAAAUUCAUCCGUCCAAGAGGAGAGAUAUGGGAAAAUUAGUGGUUGUCUCCAAAUUCCUCCUCACUACAUAUUGCACUAUAAAGUGUUUUCACCUAUUUUUUUAGUCGUCCAAAUUUACAUUCCUGAAAUUGUGUGCCUUAGAAAUUUCCCAGAAGGCUCUGCAAAAAAAAAGAAAGAAAAACACUAGAUUAGUAGAUGUAGACCACAAUGCAUUAAGUUUGAACAAAAAAUAUAUAUAUAUAUAUUUAUAUAUUUAUAUGAAUAUCCAAGUUUUCCUCAUCAUAACACAAUCGAAUUACAAAUAGUCUUUAUAAAUGCUUGUAUUUAUUCUGUUUUUAUUUUGUGUGAUGUCAUCUUUGCUGUUAAAAAAACAAAAGUAGUGAGCACGGUGUCCGAAUUUCUUUUAAAAUCCAGUUGCUCCUACACUAUAUAGUUUUUUAGUAUUUAGGGAGAGUGGGGAAGAAAUUCUGCCCAAUGUCUUCAAAUUCGGACGAUACUACUACUUGAUGAUGUCAUCAAUGGUCGCCAGUCAUUUAUGUUAGCACUAGCUGCCAAUGCUCUGAAAAUACUUAACAACUUUAAAAAGGCAUGCAAAACUCAUUGAAGUGUUACAUUUUUUAAUAAAAUACUUACAUUUAAAUGUGCUUCCAAACACCCACGUGUAAACCAAUACAUCUCUCCUGGAUCCCCCUACCAGCAGAGGGAUAACCAGAGGGAUAACCAGCCCUAAAUCGGAAAGGACUUUCGGACACAACCCCAGCUUCAAAUGCCCCUACAGUUGGAGGAACAGGAAGGAGCUGUAGGCGUAGGGAAGAAAUGUGGAUUCAGCAAACUUAGUUUGUUCGUCACUGAGAAGCUAAAAAAAACAUCAGCAAAAGUGCAAACAAGCAAAUUCAUAUCCGGUAAUUUCAGAUUACAACCAGUACCAUAUGGAUUCUGUAGUUUGAUGUACUUUUGAUUAAGGAAGUAGAUAGAACACACACUACACUGGUGUGAAACUAGAGAAACGCACAGCUGUUUUCUAAACUCUAUGUCUAUUUUGCUUGUUCAGUUUUUUGCAGCUGGAGGCUCAGCAUGUUCUAAUUGUGUUGUGCACAAAGUACCUGAGCUAUGAAUUAGUAUGUUGAUUGAGCAACAUAUUUAUCAUGUCAAAAACCUGUCAGAAGCAUUUUGUUUGUAUUAUCUGCUGAUGAUUCAGUCUUGUGAUGCAUGUAAGAGAAUAAAAUUGGGCUAACAUCGCCCUUUAGAAAUUUCUCUUGUGAUCUUUGCUGAUGCUCAAUUUAAAAUGUCUCAAACAAACAUUUGUAAUAAAAAUUCUGGUGAUUGCGGUGUUAAAAGUGUCAGAGGAUUCAAUGAAAGACAGUUUGAAGUGGAAAGAAAAACUGCUUUUGUUGACGGUGCUGAUAAGUUUUUCAGAACCAGCGACACGUUAUCUUAAUUGGCUUUUAGACUCAGAAAGGAAGCGGUUCGUCUUUUUUUUUAUUUUUAGUCACGUCUUAACUUACUGUGCUGCACAUGUUAAGAAAAUGUGUUCACAAACACUAAAAGAUCCGUGCUCUGUACACUGACAUAAAAAUCAUGUGUAAAAGUGGAGUUUUUCUGGUUUUAAUACUAGAGGAAAUAAAACAUAAAGAAUCCUGACUUGUUUGGAGCAAAAACUUGAUUGUGUUUUUCAUCUCGACUUUAAAGCAAAAAAAA